CGUAAUAACAGAAACUAACCAGGAUUCCCUUAGUAACGGCGAGUGAACUGGGAUACCAACAAUAUAUAUAUACGCUUCACUGCGUGUGUAUCUUUAGCCCGUCGGUACUAUCCUAGCGUAUGACUUAUACUGUCUCGGCAGUUGGUCACCAAAUACGCGGGAAUUGUAGCAUCGUAACACAUAUAUACACUAUAAGCAGCGCACACGUAUAUACACACACACACACAUAUACACGUAUACCGGCCUUGCAAACACACAGCGCUCUCGCGUUGGAAAGCAAGUUAUAUAUCUUCGGAUAUGCCAUAGAGUGUGACAGCCACGUUUGGAACACCCUUAUACCGGUACACACAUAUACACUCACUGCGCAUACUGCUUACGUAUAUAUAACCUGAGUCGAGUUAUUU
RNAcentral lists this ribosomal RNA (404 nucleotides) under Ammonia sp. RNAcentral describes it as "partial large subunit ribosomal RNA". The record is from RNAcentral. Lineage: Eukaryota; Foraminifera; Rotaliida; Rotaliidae.